This 1690-nucleotide long non-coding RNA is filed under the name Dermacentor andersoni. RNAcentral describes it as "uncharacterized LOC126534217". Lineage: Eukaryota; Metazoa; Arthropoda; Arachnida; Ixodida; Ixodidae. The record is from RNAcentral.
ACUCUCUUUCAGCACCAGUGAAGCAAAUUACGACAGCUAUGCUUAGGAGUGCACGAAAGAAACCGGCUUGAGAGAGGGAGAAAAGGGAUGGGAAAGGCAGGCAGGUUAACCCGAAGAGAAGCUUCUGCUUUGCUACCCUACACUUGGGGUUGGGACAGGGGGAAAGAAGGCUUGGCAAAGGCUGGCACCCCACUGACAACGCAGCCGGUGGAAGCGGACGAUAAUAAACUUGCAUACAAAGAAAUUAUAUGCAGUGACAUUUCUGCCACCGCCGUUCACGUUGAAUAUGAAAGCCCUGCCGCGGCCUGGAAGUGAUCACCCUGCACCGGGGUCCCAAUGAGUGCCGCAAAUGGUUUAUCACGAAGGUUCGUUCGUUGUCACCACGAAGGCGGCCUCUCUUGCUUCGAACCGAUUGAAAGAACUGUCCGGCUUCCGGGGCGCAGGGUCCUCGAGCACGUUCCGAGGCCAUGGCUCUACGAUACAACGACGCAGGUGAAGGAACGACGCGAGAGGGCGUCCCGUCGACGCCGCGGCAGGACAGAUGGGGACGACGACGACGAAGAAGGGUCGCCGGCGCUCGCGAUGGCGCGGAUUCGAGCACGCGCUCGACGCUGUCCUCUGCGAAGCUAGGGGCGCCCCUGCGUGGUUUCGUCCCGAGAAAGCCGCCGGUCUCCGUUCGCAACGACGUGGGCGCGGGGCACGCCACGUGCUCCACCCGAGGGACCGAAGGCCGUCGCGCCGCGGCCGGCCACGGCGCCGUUCCUGGAACCGUCGCUCGGGAACACAGGCCAGUCUUCUUCCAGCCAGCGGCAGCGGCGACGUGCAUGUCGGAGCGGGAUCGGACGUCCGCUGAGCUCAACUCCGCAGUCGCCGCGGUCUUCUAGCAGGCGGCCGAGACUUCCAGCACCCGGGGCUAGCCACACGCUGUGGUCCGAGGACCGCAGCACCGCUGCGGGGGUCGCUCGCCUUCCUCUCUUCUUCUGAGUCGAGCCGCCGACCUCGCAGGUCGGCGCGCGCUAGCGAACCGGCCCAGCCAUGACGGAGAUGUCGGCCAUGUCGGGGAUGUCGGGGAUGUCGGAGAUGUCCGGGGUGGACACCGGCGCAGGGGCAGCCGGGGCCGGAGGCGGGAUGGACCCGGAGAAGAAGAAGAAGAUCAUAAUCGCCGCCGUCGUCGUUGUGAUCGUCGUCGUCCUGCUGAUCGCGGUGGCGCUCUUCGUCGUCCUGGUACUCCUCAAGGAGGAGGUCAAGGACCGCACCGAGCCCACCGACCCCUGGUGGUGACCCCACGGCUGCUGGCUUCGCGAUGCGCCAUCUUGGAAGAGCUGCUCCUCCGGCUUUUGACACCACUGACCAUCAUCCCCCGAGGGCCGCUUCGGUCACCGACCAGCGUGUUGUCGUCUCAAACUGCGUUUUAGCUGUGACUCCUCUCUCUCUUUUUUUUUUUUUUUUCACGAUGGGUCCGCGAGAAGUGACGUAACGGCCCUCCCUGUUCACCUCGCGCCUCCUUAAGUGAUGGCUGGAUAGAUGAGGGUAAUAAACCAGAGGCCGGCGAGACCAGUGACAUCUGUGGGGACAUGAUGACUAUCGGUGCGCGCAUGGCGCCAUGUUAACAUCGUGACUGCCGCCACCGGCUCCAUUUUUGUGUCUGUGUGUUCGAUGCGUCUGUAAAUAAAGAACGACUGAAGCGAGA